RNAcentral lists this ribosomal RNA (491 nucleotides) under Pleosporales sp. ca_besc_15b. RNAcentral's name for it is "eukaryotic LSU rRNA". The stretch from base 138 to 291 matches the Rfam family "5.8S ribosomal RNA". The record is from RNAcentral. Lineage: Eukaryota; Fungi; Ascomycota; Dothideomycetes; Pleosporales.
CGGGGGCUGUAAAGCUCUCGUCUACACCCAUGUCUUUUGCGUACUCUUGUUUCCUCGGUGGCGCAAGCUGCCGAUUGGACAAACCAAAACCUUUUUUGUAAUUGCAAUCAGCGUCUGAAAAUAAUCUAAUUAUUUACAACUUUCAACAACGGAUCUCUUGGUUCUGGCAUCGAUGAAGAACGCAGCGAAAUGCGAUAAGUAGUGUGAAUUGCAGAAUUCAGUGAAUCAUCGAAUCUUUGAACGCACAUUGCGCCCCUUGGUAUUCCAUGGGGCAUGCCUGUUCGAGCGUCAUUUGUACCCUCAAGCUUUGCUUGGUGUUGGGCGUCUUGUCGUAUUACGACUCGCCUUAAAUUCAUUGGCAGCCGGCACUUUGGCCUAGGAGCGCAGCACAUUUUGCGAUCGUAGCCCGUUGUACUGGCGUCCAUCAAGAACAUUUACCACGUUUGACCUCGGAUCAGGUAGGGAUACCCGCUGAACUUAAGCAUAUCAAA